RNAcentral lists this unclassified non-coding RNA (74 nucleotides) under Escherichia coli. The record is from RNAcentral. Lineage: Bacteria; Pseudomonadati; Pseudomonadota; Gammaproteobacteria; Enterobacterales; Enterobacteriaceae.
ACAGAUUUUGGUGACUGCGCUCCUCCAAGCCAGUUACCUUGGUUCAAAGAGUUGGUAGCUCAGCGAACCUUGAG